This 407-nucleotide ribosomal RNA is filed under the name uncultured bacterium. RNAcentral's name for it is "partial 16S ribosomal RNA". It matches the Rfam family "Bacterial small subunit ribosomal RNA", at positions 30 to 526 of the family's 1533-position model. The record is from RNAcentral.
AUUGAACGCUGGCGGCAGGCCUAACACAUGCAAGUCGAGCGGAGCGGCGGACGGGUGAGUAAUGGCUAGGAAUCUGCCUGGUAGUGGGGGAUAACGUCCGGAAACGGGCGCUAAUACCGCAUACUAUCAGAUGAGCCUAGGUCGGAUUAGCUAGUUGGUGGGGUAAAGGCAUACCAAGGCGACGAUCCGUAACUGGUCUGAGAGGGUGAUCAGUCACACGGGAACGAAGACACGGUCCAGACUCCUACGGGGGGCAGAGGUGGGGAUUAUUGGACAAUGGGCAAAAGCCUGAUCCAGCAAUGCCGCUGGUUUGAAGAAGGUCUUCGGAUUGUAAAGCACUUUAAGUUGGGAGGCGUUACCAACAGAAUAAGCACCGGCUAACUUCGUGCCAGCAGCCGCGGUAAUAC